This 253-nucleotide ribosomal RNA is filed under the name uncultured bacterium. RNAcentral's name for it is "partial 16S ribosomal RNA". It matches the Rfam family "Bacterial small subunit ribosomal RNA", at positions 524 to 776 of the family's 1533-position model. The record is from RNAcentral.
UACGGAGGGUGCAAGCGUUGUCCGGAUUUAUUGGGUUUAAAGGGUGCGUAGGCGGCUGAUUAAGUCAGCGGUGAAAGACUCCGGCUUAACCGGAGCAGUGCCGUUGAUACUGGUUAGCUUGAGUGUUGGAGGGGUACAUGGAAUUGAUGGUGUAGCGGUGAAAUGCAUAGAUACCAUCAGGAACACCGAUAGCGAAGGCAUUGUACUGGCCAACAACUGACGCUGAUGCACGAAAGUGUGGGGAUCGAACAGG